This 253-nucleotide ribosomal RNA is filed under the name uncultured bacterium. RNAcentral's name for it is "partial 16S ribosomal RNA". It matches the Rfam family "Bacterial small subunit ribosomal RNA", at positions 524 to 776 of the family's 1533-position model. The record is from RNAcentral.
UACGUAGGGGGCAAGCGUUGUCCGGAUUUACUGGGCGUAAAGAGCGUGUAGGCGGCCUCACAGGUCCGUUGUGAAAACUGAAGGCUUAACCUUCAGACGUCGACGGAAACCGUGUGGCUAGAGUCCGGAAGAGGAGAGUGGAAUUCCUGGUGUAGCGGUGAAAUGCGCAGAUAUCAGGAAGAACACCAAUGGCGAAGGCAGCUCUCUGGGACGGUACUGACGCUGAGAAGCGAAAGCGUGGGGAGCAAACAGG